Molecule: ribosomal RNA, 173 nt
Filed under: Burkholderia contaminans
Lineage: Bacteria; Pseudomonadati; Pseudomonadota; Betaproteobacteria; Burkholderiales; Burkholderiaceae
Description: partial 16S ribosomal RNA
Rfam family: Bacterial small subunit ribosomal RNA
Source: RNAcentral
CUGCAGUCGAACGGCAGCACGGGUGCUUGCACCUGGUGGCGAGUGGCGAACGGGUGAGUAAUACAUCGGAACAUGUCCUGUAGUGGGGGAUAGCCCGGCGAAAGCCGGAUUAAUACCGCAUACGAUCUACGGAUGAAAGCGGGGGACCUUCGGGCCUCGCGCUAUAGGGUUGG